This 77-nucleotide transfer RNA is filed under the name Sphaerotilus natans. RNAcentral describes it as "tRNA-Pro". It matches the Rfam family "tRNA". From Rfam's summary of the family: Transfer RNA (tRNA) molecules are approximately 80 nucleotides in length. Their secondary structure includes four short double-helical elements and three loops (D, anti-codon, and T loops). The record is from RNAcentral. RNAcentral also lists the same sequence under 5 other names. Lineage: Bacteria; Pseudomonadati; Pseudomonadota; Betaproteobacteria; Burkholderiales; Sphaerotilaceae.
CGGGGUGUAGCGCAGUCUGGUAGCGCAUCUGCUUUGGGAGCAGAGGGUCGUGAGUUCGAAUCCCACCACCCCGACCA